This 301-nucleotide ribosomal RNA is filed under the name uncultured bacterium. RNAcentral describes it as "partial 16S ribosomal RNA". It matches the Rfam family "Bacterial small subunit ribosomal RNA", at positions 509 to 807 of the family's 1533-position model. The record is from RNAcentral.
CAGCCGCCACGGUAAUACGGAGGGUGCAAGCGUUAAUCGGAAUUACUGGGCGUAAAGCGCACGCAGGCGGUUUGUUAAGUCAGAUGUGAAAUCCCCGAGCUUAACUUGGGAACUGCAUUUGAAACUGGCAAGCUAGAGUCUUGUAGAGGGGGGUAGAAUUCCAGGUGUAGCGGUGAAAUGCGUAGAGAUCUGGAGGAAUACCGGUGGCGAAGGCGGCCCCCUGGACAAAGACUGACGCUCAGGUGCGAAAGCGUGGGGAGCAAACAGGAUUAGAUACCCCUGUAGUCCCUGUCUCUUAUAC